UACAUGAAGCUGGAAUCGCUAGUAAUCGCGGAUCAGAAUGCCGCGGUGAAUACGUUCCCGGGUCUUGUACACACCGCCCGUCACACCAUGGGAGUCGGAAAUGCCCGAAGUCUGUGACCUAACCGUAAGGAAGGAGCAGCCGAAGGCAGGUCGGAUGACUGGGGUGAAGUCGUAACAAGGUAGC
RNAcentral lists this ribosomal RNA (184 nucleotides) under uncultured bacterium. RNAcentral's name for it is "partial 16S ribosomal RNA". It matches the Rfam family "Bacterial small subunit ribosomal RNA", at positions 1317 to 1500 of the family's 1533-position model. The record is from RNAcentral.